Molecule: ribosomal RNA, 442 nt
Filed under: uncultured bacterium
Lineage: Bacteria
Description: partial 16S ribosomal RNA
Rfam family: Bacterial small subunit ribosomal RNA
Source: RNAcentral
CCUACGGGAGGCAGCAGUGGGGAAUAUUGGUCAAUGGACGCAAGUCUGACCCAGCAACGCCGCGUGAAGGAAGACGGCUUUCUGGUUGUAAACUUCUUUUUACAGGGGAGUGUAGCACACUGUACCUGCCGUAUCAUCCACAGCUAACUACUUGCCAUCGGCCGCGGUCAUACGUAGGUGGCAAGCGUUUUCCGGAUUUCCUGGGUGUAAAGGGCGUGUUGCCGGGUUGCUAAGUCAGGUGUGAAAUCCUGCGGCUUAACCGCAGAACUGCAUUUGAAACUGGUGAUCUUGAGUACUGGAGAGGCAGACGGAAUUCCUAGUGUAGCGGUGAAAUGCGUAGAUAUCAGGAGGAACACCAGUGGCGAAGGCGGUCUGCCGGACAGAGACUGACGGUGAGGCGCGAAAGUGUGGGUAGCAAACAGGAUUAGAUACCCUAGUAGUC